GGAGGGGGCUGUGGGGGCACGCGCGUGCCGCUGGGCGCGUGCCGCGAGCGCCCCCCUCCCCUUCACCCCCGCUCCCGGCGGGGUCGCGCGCGCGCCGGCGCGCGGCGGGAAACGGGCGGCGCGCGCUCCCUGAGGGCUGAGGCGGGCCCGGCCCUGAGGGGAGAGCGGCGGGACGGCAGCGGGAACGGAACGAACGCCAGACAGAAUUGAUCCUGUAUCCAGUCUUUAGAAUGGACCAGCACAUGAACAGCAAGGAACUGUGUGACCCUCUUGGAAUUGUGACAAACCUGUACAGCCCACAACUGGUUCACAUUUUGAAGCAGAGGAGAUCCAGGCUCCACAGCUCUCUGUGACAUGGAGAGCAGCACUGUGAAACCCUGCUCUCCUCACAUCGCAGGGAGGAGUGUGAGAACUGAUCACACUGAAGACUCAAAACCAACUGAAAGGUACAGAAUGGCAUGUUUUCUGGUUUAUUCUCUAUUUCUGUUCUCAUUCUUCACACUUGGUUUGCUUUACUGAAUGCCACUAAGCAUUGAGCUGA
Long non-coding RNA from Prinia subflava (tawny-flanked prinia), 541 nucleotides. RefSeq lists it as uncharacterized. Lineage: Eukaryota; Metazoa; Chordata; Aves; Passeriformes; Cisticolidae. The transcript has 3 exons. The record is from RefSeq and is a predicted model, not a curated record.